This is an RNA transcript of Zea mays, 1305 nucleotides long. It is a transcript of the gene named subtilisin-like protease pseudogene, with no coding region annotated. The record is from RefSeq and is marked validated. The transcript is spliced from 4 exons. NCBI's taxonomy places the organism in Eukaryota, Viridiplantae, Streptophyta, Magnoliopsida, Poales, Poaceae.
UCCACCGCCAUCAGCGCUCGCCUGAGGCCGGAGGGGACCUUUUCGUGGCUGCCGGUAUCCUGUCCUCCACGCAGGACACGCACCCGCCGCAGCCCCCGCCGCCACCGGAUCUCUCGCCAAGGACAGGCUGGUGCAGGAGGCCACUCCCAGAUCCCGUCAUCCGCCGCCAUUAACGCCCUCCUGCUAGAUCCCGUCAUUCGCUGCGAAUCUCCAUUCAGCUCCCCCUCGCGCUUUCAUCGUCGCCGUGGACCGCUCGCUGGCGCUGACCUCUCCCAAGCGCGGCACAGUGGUGCGGGUGCCGUACAAGGUCUCGAUCCCGCUGGGCAGGGUGAAGACGACCACGCCGGGUGGGAACAAGGACCGGCCGGAGCAGAAGUACGUGCAGGCUUCGAGUUCUGGUUCAUGGGCUUCGUCAGGUACCAGGUGUCCCUGCACGAACUGGAGAAGGCCAUCGAGCAGGCGAACGUUCGGGGCCAGAUCCACCGACUCCCGUUUGACGGCCUCGCGUUGUGCUUUUGUGUGGCUAUUCGUUCACUGGAGAAGGCCAUUGAACUAUUGAGUAAGAGGAAAGUUCAGGGGAGAAUUCUUUUGUGUGGCUAUUCGUUCAAUUACAUUUCUGGGACAGCAUCAAUAAAGAAAGUAUCUCACACGACCAGGAAUCUUGGAGCAGUUGGCUUUGUUGUUGCUGUGGAGAAUAUUUACCCAGGAAUAAAAUUUGACCCUGUACCAGUCAGCAUCCCUAGAAUUCUCAUCACAGAUGUCAGCAAAACGGAGGAUCUUAUAGACUACUACAAUUCUUCCACCAUAAUAGAUUGGGCUGGAAGGGCUACAACCUUCAAAGCAACAGCAGACAUACUUGCUCCUGGCAAUCUCAUAUGGGCUGCAUGGGCGCCUAAUGGAACAGAUGAAUCAAACUAUGCUGGUGAAGGAUUUGCAAUGGUUUCUGGAACUAGCAUGGCCACACCGCAUUUCGCUGGCAUUGCAGCACUAAUAAAGCAGAAGAACCCAAAGUGGAGCCCCUCAGCAAUAAAAUCUGCCAUGAUGACAACAACCAAUACACUGGACAAAGGGAGUCGUCCUCUCAGAGCGCAGCAGUACACAACAUCGGAAAUGAUGACACUUUCUCAGGCCACACCGUUUGAUUGUGGUAGUGGCGCUGUUAACCCAAAAGCUGCCCUUUAACAGUUAUAAUUACCCAGAGAUUAGUGAUGCUAAGAAGAGUCCUGGGUGACAAUUUUUGUUCCAGCAUUUUGAAAAAUACUCAAAGAAUUUUUUAUUAAUAAUUUGACUAAAAUUCAUAAGGUG